AGCAGCGUGGCUCAGUGGAGCAAGAGCACGGGCUUUGGAGUCAGGGGUCAUGGGUUCGAAUCCCAGCUCUGCCA
Molecule: transfer RNA, 74 nt
Filed under: Ornithorhynchus anatinus (platypus)
Lineage: Eukaryota; Metazoa; Chordata; Mammalia; Monotremata; Ornithorhynchidae
Rfam family: tRNA
About the family: Transfer RNA (tRNA) molecules are approximately 80 nucleotides in length. Their secondary structure includes four short double-helical elements and three loops (D, anti-codon, and T loops).
Source: Rfam by way of RNAcentral